UUCCUUGUGGCUCAGAUGGUAAAAGUGUCUGCCUAUAAUGCAGGAGACCUGGGUUCGAUCCCUGGGUGGGGAUA
Molecule: transfer RNA, 74 nt
Organism: Ovis aries (sheep)
Lineage: Eukaryota; Metazoa; Chordata; Mammalia; Artiodactyla; Bovidae
Rfam family: tRNA
About the family: Transfer RNA (tRNA) molecules are approximately 80 nucleotides in length. Their secondary structure includes four short double-helical elements and three loops (D, anti-codon, and T loops).
Source: Rfam